Molecule: long non-coding RNA, 889 nt
Organism: Triticum dicoccoides
Lineage: Eukaryota; Viridiplantae; Streptophyta; Magnoliopsida; Poales; Poaceae
Exons: 6
Source: RefSeq, a predicted model, not a curated record
UCAUUUGGAUGACUUUGUCAGUAGGAAGGAUGGCUAACAUGCCUGUUAAACCUAGAUAAACGCGUAUUGAAGGAACCGGGGUAUGUUCGCCAUGUUGAACACCCUCACAAUGACGGGUACCAUACAAUGUUAGCGAGGACAAUGAUUGGGGGCUUGAGAUUUUCGAUAAAGAGGUGCUUGGAGGAGGCACACGUCCCAGGUUUGACUGUUUGGGCUAUGGUGAUCAUAAACCCCGGAUAACCGACUGAACAGGGUACUCUGGAGUAUGUGGCAGAAGGGGAAGCUACAUGUUGAUAUGUAAAAUUCCCUUCAUGUCACGUCUAGGAAUAACGGAGUUUUGGAGAUGAUGUGAUGGGUGAGAUUCACAAGGUGGCUUCUGUGACUCUUUGCCCCAACAUAAAUGGUGACUUGCGAUGGAUCCACCGAAGUAUAGAUCUGCGAUUGAGAUUUUUAUUGGACCACUGGGUGAGCAUUUGCAACAAAGAGCCAGGGAGUAAGCUGGUAGCAGACAAACAUAAUGCCCUGAACAUGAGUUUGUCCUUGCAUAAUUAUCCAUGUCUGAUGGUAGGAAGAGACAGGAUCAGAUCGCUCACCAGUGAUGAAGACGUGGUAGUACCGUAGUAGGGUGUGGUAGAUGAACAUGUCUUUAUUUUCUGAAUCGCUUUAUAUUAUAUGAUAUUGUAUUGACAAGUAGGAGGUGAUUUCCGAUGGGUGAUUCUAGAUUUUUGAGUGAAUACUAGCUACCAUGUUAUCCUAAGUGCUGUCAACUAUUCAAUUACAAAUAAAAACUCAAGAACGUACUUAGUCUACCACAAGUUGUGAUUUUUUUUAAACAUCGAUCCUAACAUUAAUUGCCUCAAAUUUAGUCUGAUACAUUUUCCUUAACGUG